Molecule: ribosomal RNA, 925 nt
Filed under: Providencia rettgeri
Lineage: Bacteria; Pseudomonadati; Pseudomonadota; Gammaproteobacteria; Enterobacterales; Morganellaceae
Description: partial 23S ribosomal RNA
Rfam family: Bacterial large subunit ribosomal RNA
Source: RNAcentral
GCGAGCGAACGGGGAGCAGCCCAGAGUCUUAAUCAGCAUUAGCAUCAGGAGAACGGUCUGGAAAGUCCGGCAGUAAAGGGUGAUAGCCCCGUAUCCGAAGGUGUUAGUGUUGUGAACUCGACGAGUAGGGCGGGACACGUGUUAUCCUGUCUGAAUAUGGGGGGACCAUCCUCCAAGGCUAAAUACUCCUGAUUGACCGAUAGUGAACCAGUACCGUGAGGGAAAGGCGAAAAGAACCCCGGCGAGGGGAGUGAAAUAGAACCUGAAACCGUGUACGUACAAGCAGUGGGAGCCUUGAUUUAUCAGGGUGACUGCGUACCUUUUGUAUAAUGGGUCAGCGACUUAUAUUCUGUAGCAAGGUUAACCGAAUAGGGGAGCCGUAGGGAAACCGAGUCUUAACUGGGCGAAUAAGUUGCAGGGUAUAGACCCGAAACCCGGUGAUCUAGCCAUGGGCAGGUUGAAGGUUGGGUAACACUAACUGGAGGACCGAACCGACUAAUGUUGAAAAAUUAGCGGAUGACUUGUGGCUGGGGGUGAAAGGCCAAUCAAACCGGGAGAUAGCUGGUUCUCCCCGAAAGCUAUUUAGGUAGCGCCUCGUGAACUCAUCUUCGGGGGUAGAGCACUGUUUCGACUAGGGGGUCAUCCCGACUUACCAACUCGAUGCAAACUACGAAUACCGAAGAAUGUUAUCACGGGAGACACACGGCGGGUGCUAACGUUCGUCGUGAAGAGGGAAACAACCCAGACCGCCAGCUAAGGUCCCAAAGUCAUAGUUAAGUGGGAAACGAAGUGGGAAGGCUCAGACAGCCAGGAUGUUGGCUUAGAAGCAGCCAUCAUUUAAAGAAAGCGUAAUAGCUCACUGGUCGAGUCGGCCUGCGCGGAAGAUGUAACGGGGCUAAACUAUGCACCGAAGCUGCGGCAGCGA